AUUGAACGCUGGCGGCAGGCCUAACACAUGCAAGUCGAGCGGCAGCGGAAAGUAGCUUGCUACUUUGCCGGCGAGCGGCGGACGGGUGAGUAAUGUCUGGGAAACUGCCUGAUGGAGGGGGAUAACUACUGGAAACGGUAGCUAAUACCGCAUGACCUCGCAAGAGCAAAGUGGGGGACCUUCGGGCCUCACGCCAUCGGAUGUGCCCAGAUGGGAUUAGCUAGUAGGUGAGGUAAUGGCUCACCUAGGCGACGAUCCCUAGCUGGUCUGAGAGGAUGACCAGCCACACUGGAACUGAGACACGGUCCAGACUCCUACGGGAGGCAGCAGUGGGGAAUAUUGCACAAUGGGCGCAAGCCUGAUGCAGCCAUGCCGCGUGUGUGAAGAAGGCCUUCGGGUUGUAAAGCACUUUCAGCGAGGAGGAAGGGUUCAGUGUUAAUAGCACUGUUCAUUGACGUUACUCGCAGAAGAAGCACCGGCUAACUCCGUGCCAGCAGCCGCGGUAAUACGGAGGGUGCAAGCGUUAAUCGGAAUUACUGGGCGUAAAGCGCACGCAGGCGGUUUGUUAAGUCAGAUGUGAAAUCCCCGAGCUUAACUUGGGAACUGCAUUUGAAACUGGCAAGCUAGAGUCUUGUAGAGGGGGGUAGAAUUCCAGGUGUAGCGGUGAAAUGCGUAGAGAUCUGGAGGAAUACCGGUGGCGAAGGCGGCCCCCUGGACAAAGACUGACGCUCAUGCACGAAAGCGUGGGGAGCAAACAGG
This 759-nucleotide ribosomal RNA is filed under the name uncultured Enterobacteriaceae bacterium. RNAcentral describes it as "bacterial SSU rRNA". It matches the Rfam family "Bacterial small subunit ribosomal RNA", at positions 28 to 776 of the family's 1533-position model. The record is from RNAcentral. Lineage: Bacteria; Pseudomonadati; Pseudomonadota; Gammaproteobacteria; Enterobacterales; Enterobacteriaceae.